RNAcentral lists this ribosomal RNA (953 nucleotides) under uncultured bacterium. RNAcentral describes it as "bacterial SSU rRNA". It matches the Rfam family "Bacterial small subunit ribosomal RNA", at positions 520 to 1482 of the family's 1533-position model. The record is from RNAcentral.
GUAACACGUAGGAGGCAAACGUUAUCCGGAUUUACUGGGCGUAAAGCGCGUGUAGGUGGUUUGGUAAGUAGGGCGUGAAAGCUCCUGGCUCAACUGGGAGAGGACGUUCUAAACUGCCAAGCUUGAGGAUGGUAGAGGGAGGUGGAAUUCCGGGUGUAGCGGUGGAAUGCGCAGAUAUCCGGAGGAACACCAGUGGCGAAGGCGGCCUCCUGGACCACUCCUGACACUCAGACGCGAAAGCUAGGGUAGCAAACGGGAUUAGAGACCCCGGUAGUCCUAGCCCUAAACGAUGUAGACUUGGCGUCGGUGGUUUAAUCGCCAUCGGUGUCGUAGCUAACGCGUUAAGUCUACCGCCUGGGGACUACGGCCGCAAGGUUAAAACUCAAAGGAAUUGACGGGUCCCCGCACAAGCAGCGGAGCGUGUGGUUUAAUUCGAUGCUACACGAAGAACCUUACCUGGGUUUGACAUAGAGGUAGUAGGGAAGCGAAAGCGGACCGACCCUUCGGGGAGCCUCUACAGGUGUUGCAUGGCUGUCGUCAGCUCGUGUCGUGAGAUGUUCGGUUAAGUCCGCUAACGAGCGCAACCCUCGCUGUGUGUUACAAGUGUCACACGGUACUGCCGAUAUUAAGUCGGAAGAAGGUGGGGAUGACGUCAAGUCAGCAUGACCUUUAUAUCCAGGGCUACACACACGCUACAAUGGCCAGUACCAUGGGUUGCCAAGCCGCGAGGCGGACCCAAUCCUAAAAAGCUGGCCUCAGUUCAGAUUGCAGUCUGCAACUCGACUGCAUGAAGUUGGAGUUGCUAGUAACCGCAGGUCAGCAAUACUGCGGUGAAUACGUUCCCGGGGAUUGUACACACCGCCCGUCAAGUCAUGGAAGCUGGCAACACCUGAAGCCGGUAUCCUAACCCGAAAGGGAGGGAGCUGUCGAAGGUGGGGUCGGUGACUGGGACU